CCUACGGGAGGCAGCAGUGGGGAAUAUUGGACAAUGGGCGAAAGCCUGAUCCAGCAAUUCCGCGUGUGUGAAGAAGGCCUUCGGGUUGUAAAGCACUUUAGUGGGGGAAGAAACAGCUUGGCCACACCAAGCCUUGACGGUACCCCAAGAAUAAGCACCGGCUAACUCUGUGCCAGCAGCCGCGGUAAUACAGAGGGUGCAAGCGUUAAUCGGAUUUACUGGGCGUAAAGGGUGCGUAGGUGGCUAUUUAAGUCGGAUGUGAAAGCCCGGGGCUCAACCUCGGAAUUGCAUUCGAUACUGAGUGGCUAGAGUUCGGUAGAGGGCGGCGGAAUUUCCGGUGUAGCGGUGAAAUGCGUAGAUAUCGGAAGGAACAUCAAUGGCGAAGGCAGCCGCCUGGGCCUGGACUGACACUGAGGCACGAAAGCGUGGGUAGCAAACAGGAUUAGAUACCCUGGUAGUCCACGCCGUAAACGAUGAGAACUUGACGUUGGUUCGUUUUACGAAUCGGUGUCGCNGCUACGACGAUAGUUACGUCCGUCCGUCGGGUAGGUACGGCCGCGAGGUUAGUAACGUACGAAGAAGUAGACGGCGUGAGACGUGACCGACGGACGACGACGAGGGAGGAGG
This 627-nucleotide ribosomal RNA is filed under the name uncultured bacterium. Its description in RNAcentral is "bacterial SSU rRNA". The stretch from base 1 to 539 matches the Rfam family "Bacterial small subunit ribosomal RNA", at positions 338 to 873 of the family's 1533-position model. The record is from RNAcentral.